RNAcentral lists this transfer RNA (73 nucleotides) under Dictyocaulus viviparus (bovine lungworm). It matches the Rfam family "tRNA". Rfam says of the family: Transfer RNA (tRNA) molecules are approximately 80 nucleotides in length. Their secondary structure includes four short double-helical elements and three loops (D, anti-codon, and T loops). Lineage: Eukaryota; Metazoa; Nematoda; Chromadorea; Rhabditida; Metastrongylidae. The record is from Rfam by way of RNAcentral.
AGAUCGGUAGUGCAAUCGGCAGCACAUUAGACCGGAAAUCAACAAGUUAUAGGUUCGAAUCUUAUCUGAGGUU